UACGGGGGGGGUAAGCGUUGUUCGGAAUUACUGGGCGUAAAGGGCUCGUAGGCGGCCAACUAAGUCGGAUGUGAAAUCCCCAGGCUUAACCUGGGAACUGCAUCCGAUACUGGAUGGCUUGAAUCCGGGAGAGGGAUGCGGAAUUCCAGGUGUAGCGGUGAAAUGCGUAGAUAUCUGGAGGAACACCGGUGGCGAAGGCGGCAUCCUGGACCGGCAUUGACGCUGAGGAGCGAAAGCCAGGGGAGCAAACGGG
RNAcentral lists this ribosomal RNA (253 nucleotides) under uncultured bacterium. Its description in RNAcentral is "partial 16S ribosomal RNA". It matches the Rfam family "Bacterial small subunit ribosomal RNA", at positions 524 to 776 of the family's 1533-position model. The record is from RNAcentral.